ACCUGGCUGGCUCAGUCAGUAGAGCAUGCGACUUUUGAUCUCAGGGUCAUGAGUUCGAGCUCCAUGUUGGGCG
This 73-nucleotide transfer RNA is filed under the name Ailuropoda melanoleuca (giant panda). It matches the Rfam family "tRNA". From Rfam's summary of the family: Transfer RNA (tRNA) molecules are approximately 80 nucleotides in length. Their secondary structure includes four short double-helical elements and three loops (D, anti-codon, and T loops). Further hydrogen bonds mediate the characteristic L-shaped molecular structure. tRNAs have two regions of fundamental functional importance: the anti-codon, which is responsible for specific mRNA codon recognition, and the 3' end, to which the tRNAs corresponding amino acid is attached (by aminoacyl-tRNA synthetases). tRNAs cope with the degeneracy of the genetic code in two manners: having more than one tRNA (with a specific anti-codon) for a particular amino acid; and 'wobble' base-pairing, i.e. permitting non-standard base-pairing at the 3rd anti-codon position. The record is from Rfam by way of RNAcentral. Lineage: Eukaryota; Metazoa; Chordata; Mammalia; Carnivora; Ursidae.